AGCUGGCCGCUAGCUUGUCUCCAUGCGCAGCAGUGGUGGGUAGUGAGGGAGGUUCUCUCAUUCAUUCGUUCGUCAAGCACCGGUUUGUCGAACACCUACUAUGCGUCAGACACUGUCCUAGUGCCGGCAGGUCGCCAGGGAGAACGAGAGACCGAGUCCGGCCCUCGUGGAUCUCGCUUCCCGCUCCCUUGAAAGCGCAUUGGCACUGCGAUCCGUGACCGCAUAGACUCGUUUAUUUUUUACUACAUGUGCGCCCCUACCGCCUGUCGGUCACCGUCAGGUAACCCCUGACAGAUGCUCAGAAGUGAGCACUCCGUGACGUUCGGGAGCGAGGUUCGCCAGCAAGGGUCUGGCAGAAAUAACAGUAACUCCGUGUCCGACUCACAUUUCGUGGGGUUUCAACACCUGCAAGGUGAUUCUGCGAUAGCAUUGCAGCUCCUUGGUCUCCACCCAACUAGCUCAUACUCUCAUCCCCAGGAUCACACCCUCGACCUUACCAGUCAUGGGUAACUAAUUACUAGUGACUGUGCCCCCGACGCAUCACUUUCAAGCAGACACUUUAUUUCUUGCUGUCUUCUAGCUCUGAUAAUUUUUCACCUUCAGCAGAACUCCCACCUCUUCCUGGCCUCUGCUCCUGUUCACACCUCCCUGUUUACCCAUUAUAAGCUCCAUGUUCCAUCAUUGUAACUACUCUUCUGCGUGUGCAUCAGCCUCCCUGGCCCUCUUCCUUUCUCCUUGUAUGGAAAAGCCCCUGUUCUCUACGGACUGGAACUGCUCUGAGCAAUUGAAAGUGGUUGGAGAAAAACAAAGCAGCAACAUGCUAACGUGACCCGUCCCUGGAAUCUGUGCUCAUACAUGUCAAGGAGGCCCUGGUGCAGCUAAGUUCCUGAACUGCAUUUCACUGGACCAGUCAUCCAAGGGCGAAAUCUCUUCCUGGACCAUCUUGGGCCCUCUAGGUGUGACUCUGUAAACUAGACUGGGCAAGAUGGAGGAACAGGGGGAAAAGCACACAUUUAUUUAACAGAGGUUUUGUGCGACACGAGAGCCUUUAUAAGGAAAUGAAGACCCGCAAAAGUGGUUACUCCUGUGUUUUUAUGCUUGCUGUGCUAAAGGCUGGAAAGUCCUGGGAAAACACGAUGGGACAAGGGCAGGAGCCCAGCACAGUGACCUGUGGAAACUAGCAAGGCCUUUGUUCUCACCACCUUCAGCACCUCUGUCUUCAGAGUGUUCCUGUCCUCCAGGCUGUCCCUCAGAGUGAUCGGUGUCUGAAUGAUGGGUAUUCCAUGUGGGUACAGAGUGAUCGGCUAUUAGUUGAAGAGUUGGUGGACCAGAGACCUGCUCUCUUAACACCAUAAAGCCUUUCCUUCAACCAGGAGCCACAAAAGUCUUUGGUUCAAGUUGUUUCCACAAGGUGCGUGUGUGAGGCCCCCUUGGGAUGUCCUGGGCUGCCAGCCCCUCUAACAGAGCUCCUUCAUGUUGGGUACCACUGAGAGUCACCCUGGAAACCCUGCGACAGACUGUUCAAGAUGGACAACAUCCGGAAGUUCCAGACACUGGGCGUGUUGGGCACUGCUCCUCGACUCAGACGGCCAUGCUUGUCAUGUAUGAACAAACUCCCUUUGUUCUGUCCUGGGGACACUUGGGACUCUAGGAAACUCCUUCCUGAGUCCAGGGUCAACCUGGAUCUUAUAGAGUUUGAAACCUAGAUCACACUUAAGUUUUACCAUUGCCCAAGGAGCAACUUUCUCACCCAUCCAUUACCAGCCUGUACCCAGGAUGAGAAGUCUAGUUCCAAGAGGCCAGUGGAGCCUAAGAAAGCCUUCAUUACUGACUCACUACUUCUCCAAACCUGCUAUUGACAAGCACUACCUGCUGCUAACUUAGGGGCAGAGCUGCUGGCAUAUUAUGGAAUGUUUUAAGCUUGCUAUGGAAUAUUCUAGAGUCAGCCAUUUCUUUCUCAAAGGUAGCAUCUUACUUGGUCUUGGGUUAAACAUUUCCAACUUUCAAACCUGAGUAACUCUUAAAGAUGGGUCAUUAUGAUUCUUCAAGGUGAUGGGAAGUCAGCUAAAACAACGAUCUUCAUGGUCUAGGUGAGCAUUCGUUUUAAGAUGUGAUGUAUGAUGUAUGUGGUGAGACAAUAAGUGACAGCUGUAAAUCCACUUGUCAGUAAUCUGUGCAUAAGUUAUAUAGAUCAUUCUCUGUAA
Long non-coding RNA from Sus scrofa (pig), 2204 nucleotides. RefSeq lists it as uncharacterized. The record is from RefSeq and is a predicted model, not a curated record. NCBI's taxonomy places the organism in Eukaryota, Metazoa, Chordata, Mammalia, Artiodactyla, Suidae.